This 394-nucleotide ribosomal RNA is filed under the name uncultured bacterium. Its description in RNAcentral is "bacterial SSU rRNA". It matches the Rfam family "Bacterial small subunit ribosomal RNA", at positions 100 to 525 of the family's 1533-position model. The record is from RNAcentral.
AGACGAGGUAGUAACACGUAGGUAGAUCCCCCGAAGUCGGGCAUAGCCAUCCGAAAGGAUGGGUAAUUCCCGAUAGUCCCGCAAGGGUAAAGGUUUUUCGCUUCGGGAGUUGCCUGCGUAGUAUCAGCUAGUUGGUAGGGUAACGGCCUACCAAGGCUACGACGCUUAGGGGGGCUGAGAGGCCGAUCCCCACCGAUGGAACUGCGACACGGUCCAUACUCCUACGGGAGGCUGCAGACGAGAAUAUUCCGCAAUGGACGAAAGUUUGACGGAGCGACGCCGCGUGAUGGAUGAAGUGCCUUGGUACGUAAACAUCUUUUAUCGGGGACGAAGUUUAUUGACGGUACCCGAUGAAUAAGGAGCUCCUAACUCUGUGCCAGCAGGAGCGGUAAUA